GCCGGUGUAGCUCAGUUGGCAGAGCGCUCGCCUUGUAAGCGAAAGGUCAGGGGUUCGAACCCCCUCACCGGCU
Molecule: transfer RNA, 73 nt
Filed under: Tamaricihabitans halophyticus
Lineage: Bacteria; Bacillati; Actinomycetota; Actinomycetes; Pseudonocardiales; Pseudonocardiaceae
Rfam family: tRNA
About the family: Transfer RNA (tRNA) molecules are approximately 80 nucleotides in length. Their secondary structure includes four short double-helical elements and three loops (D, anti-codon, and T loops).
Source: Rfam by way of RNAcentral